Molecule: ribosomal RNA, 279 nt
Filed under: uncultured bacterium
Lineage: Bacteria
Description: partial 16S ribosomal RNA
Rfam family: Bacterial small subunit ribosomal RNA
Source: RNAcentral
UGCCAGCCGCCGCGGUAAGACGUAGGAUGCGAGCGUUGUCCGGAAUUAUUGGGCGUAAAGCGUACGUAGGCGGUCAUCUAAGUCUGGGGUUAAAGACCAGGGCUCAACCUUGGGAGUGCCCUGGAUACUGGGUGACUGGAGGGCGGCAGAGGAAAGUGGAAUUCCCAGUGUAGCGGUGAAAUGCGUAGAUAUUGGGAGGAACACCAGUGGCGAAAGCGACUUUCUGGGCCGUUCCUGACGCUGAGGUACGAAAGCCAGGGGUGCAAACGGGAUUAGAUA